RNAcentral lists this ribosomal RNA (505 nucleotides) under uncultured bacterium. RNAcentral's name for it is "partial 16S ribosomal RNA". It matches the Rfam family "Bacterial small subunit ribosomal RNA", at positions 28 to 507 of the family's 1533-position model. The record is from RNAcentral.
GACGAACGCUGGCGGCGUGCCUAAUACAUGCAAGUAGAACGCACAGUUUAUACCGUAGCUUGCUACACCAUAAACUGUGAGUUGCGAACGGGUGAGUAACGCGUAGGUAACCUGCCUGGUAGCGGGGGAUAACUAUUGGAAACGAUAGCUAAUACCGCAUAAUAUUGAUUAUUGCAUGAUAAUUGAUUGAAAGAUGCUAUUGCAUCACUACCAGAUGGACCUGCGUUGUAUUAGCUAGUAGGUGAGGUAACGGCUCACCUAGGCGACGAUACAUAGCCGACCUGAUAGGGUGAUCGGCCACACUGGGACUGAGACACGGCCCAGACUCCUACGGGAGGCAGCAGUAGGGAAUCUUCGGCAAUGGACGAAAGUCUGACCGAGCAACGCCGCGUGAGUGAAGAAGGUUUUCGGAUCGUAAAGCUCUGUUGUAAGAGAAGAACGGGUGUGAGAGUGGAAAGUUCACACUGUGACGGUAUCUUACCAGAAAGGGACGGCUAACUACGUG